This is a long non-coding RNA of Tachysurus fulvidraco (yellow catfish), 2061 nucleotides long. RefSeq lists it as uncharacterized. NCBI's taxonomy places the organism in Eukaryota, Metazoa, Chordata, Actinopteri, Siluriformes, Bagridae. The transcript has 3 exons. The record is from RefSeq and is a predicted model, not a curated record.
ACAUGUACAAGUACAAGGCAACGAAAUGCAGUUUAGGUCUAACCAGAGUGCAAUAGUAGCAAGUGCAGGAUAUACAAGAUUUAAAUAAGUUAAGUGGUAAUAUGGAGUAAUUUACAGUUGUGUACAUACUAUGAACAAUAUACAGAUUUACAGAAGGAUAUGCGCUGUAAUAAAAUAUAUGGCUAUUACUAUAUACAGUAAUUUACAGAUAUGUAUGUUCUGUGAAUAUAAUAUACAAAUGAGUAUAUAUGUACUAUGAAUAUAACAUACUGUAUAUGUGCUAUGAACAUAAUAUAUAAUAUACAGAUGUAUAUUAUUAUUCCUAGUAAUAGUUUCUUUUGUAAACAACACUAAUGGUGUGACAAUCAGCACUUUCUGGAAGCAUGGGAUGCCCUCGUGAAAUCAUGUCCUCAUGUCUUCAUGCAGGAACACUUGCAGACGCAUGUGUUUCAAAAUUCUCAGUACAAGCACUUACACCACAUAAGGAAGUAGCAUGGCAAGUAGAAGCAAUUGCCUUCCUCGGCAUGAAGCACAGAGAGUGGAUAGCUUCUACAGUUGAUGUGGACCGCACACUGUUUGGCUGAAGUAGGCCCUAGUCUGCUGUUUACAAGAGGACCAGGAUCGGUCAUCUGGCCUGCUACCAGGCUCAAUAACUCUCUGGCCAAAUGACUCGGAAUCUGGAAAAAAAUGCAAAAGCGAAAAUGUGUUGAAGAGAUGUUCAGUAUGAGCUUAUUGUGAAUAAGAGUCCCGAGAAGAGCACGGGACAGUGUUUAUGAGUACAACAGCAGUUCUUAGGAAAUAAUGCCGGAUUAGGGGCUAAAGCACUUGGCAGCAGUUGAAACGCAAUAGGAAGUGCAACACCUUUGGCAGCACGAGAUGCUCUGGCAAUGUAUAGUUCCGCAUCACUCGAGACCAGAUGACUGCUUGUGGUGUGACGUACUGCUGAUGGAUUCAAAUUAUAUUAGAAUCCGAUUUAUUGUGGUCCGAAUCGUUUUUUAUGGGCGUCGCUCUGCAUAUGCGUUCUUUGAUCUCGCUCAUCUACAAUUAAAAGAAUUAUAUCUGUCCUUGCCACACAACUUGGUUUGUAAUGCCUAAAGUAUGCGUUUUCCUCUCACAGUGUCUUCAUGGGAAAUUAAAUUGAUACCGCAAUGACUGUGACCUUUCACCAAGCCUUGAGGCUUUCUGCAAUUAGCAGUUCCAGUCACAUGGCUUCUGUGGAGGCUCUCACUUUGUUCUCAUAUACCGCUUAAUUAUGGGCCCAAGCCUUGAUAACAUUUAAGUCUAACAUUUAAAUUUCAGUCUCCGCUUUGAAGUGAACAAGUGUCGGAAGAUUUUAUGAAAAUGCCUUUUUAUUGUUAGUGAUUUGUAAAGUAAGUAGGAAAUGAGUUUCUCUGUGCAGGCAGCUGGAUUAUUCGCACACACUCUGGCAUGUUGCCCUUAUCGAUGUUUUCUUUUUGUGCUUCGAUGCAUGCAUGCUUUACAUGCAAAUGCCUGCUUGUAUCUUGAGCAUAGAGAGGAAAACAGACUGGCACACUCCUGGCGUGGGAUCUCAGGGGACGUCACCCCUCAGCUGUGGUACCCCCUCACCCACCAAAUUGUCCUUUUCACGGAAACUGAGCAGGCCUUCAAAUUGUUUUCAGAUGUCAGGCUUUGGGUUACAAGAAUGUAGUGCGGCUUCUUUCUCUCAGAGGUUGAAUUAAUUUAUUGCUGCAUAUUAAAAUGCUUCAAGAGUCUCCCUGGUUUUCGAUUUAAUAUAUAUGCGUGGGUGGCAAUUUCCUCAAAGCUUUUUACGGUUUUCAGAGGAUGCGUGUGUAGGGUAUGCGGAGUUAGGCCUGUUUUCUUCAAUUAAUGAUGCAUGCUAUUUUGCUUUGCUUGGACCUGCACAAUCAGGAGACUUCUAAUUAGCUGAUUCAUCAAAAAGAAAUUUCCACAUCAUGAAUUUAUUUUUUCAGAAAAGAAAUCUUGAAAGCAUGACCACAUACAGCAUUUAUUUUCAGGGUACUACAAAGCAUUUCACAAUCUUUCAGUCUGUAACACAACGUCUCUUAUAUGUGCCAGGCA